RNAcentral lists this long non-coding RNA (11291 nucleotides) under Homo sapiens (human). RNAcentral describes it as "PREDICTED lncRNA (TCONS_00079349)". The record is from RNAcentral. Lineage: Eukaryota; Metazoa; Chordata; Mammalia; Primates; Hominidae.
CGAGAAUGUACGGCUUUCUCCUAAGUAGCGCUUGAAGCACUUUACCCAAAUCAAGUCCCUUUUGUAUCACUCCUUCCCUGCCUUUCCUACCUAUCACUCUCGUGCUGAAAGUUGGAGCUCCUUACCCAAAGACUGGGCGGAAAGGGUGACCGCCCUGGACCCCUGCCCGACUUCCCGUUAGGCCAAGCCGCUGUCCUGAAAGGGGAUCGUGUCCAGGCCGGCUUCCUGGAGACACACCUGCGCCUGCACACACCCACCGCGGUCGCGUCACCAGUGCCGCGGCCACGUGGACGAAGACCAAAGUCUGGAGGGAAUUCCCUCAGCCACAAAGCGAUGGGAAAGCGGGACCCGGUGGAGACCAGAGUCUUGCUAUGCUUUCCAGGCUGGUUUUGAACUCCUAGCCUCAAGCGAUUUUCCUGCCUCAGCUUCCCAAAGUGCUGGGAUUACAGGCACAAGCCACUGCACCCGGCCCUGUUGUUGUUAAGAAAAUUACAAGUUAAAUCUUGUACCAGUGAACAAGGUUUGUAUAGAUGAUUUUAUUGUCUUGAAAUUUUAUUUUAUCUCACUUUAAAAAAAUAGAAGCAUAUUAGAAUAUACUUUGUUCUAUACCCAAAUCUUGUGUUAAACUCUUUAAAAAUGUCUUUUCAGUGUUUGGUAAAAGCUGCAAUGAGUCGUACAGAUGUAUAUUUCACAUUAAUUAUUAAUAAUUAUAAUUUAGAAAUGUUAAUUACAGUCAUUUAAAGGAACUUCAACAAACUAAUGGUUAUUGAAGUUACAUUAAGAAUAUCUAUAAUCAUGAAGAGUAGUGGCCUAAUACAGUAAUGAAAGACAGAUCUUUAAAUUUAAAAAGGAAAAAUGUGAUUGUGUGUUUUCGUACGUUAUUAAGUUGUAGACAAUAUACCAAAACAUACAUCAGAGGACAUUCACUUAUGGCCAUAGAUAGUAGCUAAUGCCAGACACAUCCUCCCACUAGAAACAACUAGAAAUACACAAGAUAACUGAUUCUAGACAUUUGACAACAAACAUUGCAGGGCAGUGAUACUUGAGAGAAAGGAAACACAAUGUGAUCUGCACGUCCUCUUCAGCUUUCUGUCUGGGGACACCAAGUAGACUAAAAGGAAGUGGAAUCCAAGGAAGUAUGGAAGUCUUGCUGAGCUGAAGAAAUCUAGAUAAAAGUUUAGAGUAGUUGUCAUCCCUGAAAUUUGUAAGACAGAAUACCACAAAGAAAGGAGUAUGCAGAAGAAGAGGACAAAGAAGAUUUCACAAGCAUUCCUGUGUAGCCCAUGUGCAGGAUAGGACUUAAUGAGGCCUAGCAGAGAAUGGUUGCUAUGAACAAGAGAACUGGGCCAAGAUAUCAUAGACUGUGCAGUACUGCAAACACUGGAAUACUGUCCCAGCCUAAAUGGAGAGACCUUACUAAGCACCUCAUCCAUUCAAUUGAAAUUCUAAAGAGGAUAGACCUUAGGAGUAAAUACCAUGUCCCAGACAAAGGGCCAUGUCUCAGGACUAAGGAUAAAACUGACAUAGAAUAAAUAAUAAUAAUACAUAACAAAACAAAGCCUAGCAAGAUCAAGAGGAUUUUUUAGUAGUUUAAUAGCCUGAUAGAAUAAACCUCAACACCAUUUAAAAGAAGAUAACAUAAUCCAGACUCUCUGUAACUCCUUUAUAACAAUAUUCAACAGGAGGUUAAAAAAUAUUGUACCUGUAAAGAAGCAGAAAUAUGUGACUCAUAAUCAAAAUAAGACAUGGUCAAUAGAAGCAGAAUCCAAGAUGACCCAAAUGUUGGAAUUAGCAGAUGAGGUCUUUAAAACAGCUAUUAUAAAUAUAUGUAAGGAUGCAUGGGAAAAGAUGAAUAUGUGAUUAAACAGAUGAGAAUGAUCAGCAAAGAAAUAAACCAAAUGGAUAUAUUAGAAAUAAAAAGCAAAUAUCUGAAAUGUAAAAUUUAUUCGAUGGUUAGAGCAGUUUGGAGAUGGCAAAAGGAUGGGUGAAUUAUCUCUAACAGAGAGCAAUAGAAAUUAUAUAAUUUAAUAACAGAAAGGAAAAGAUUGGAAAAAAUAUAUAAACAGCCUCAGUGAACUCUGGAACAACCCUGCAAAGUUAGUAUAUAUAUAAUUGGAGUCCUAAGGCUAAGCAUGGUGGCUCAUACCUGUAAUCCCAACACUUUGGGAGGCUGAGGCAGGAGUUCAAGACCAGCCUGAGCAACACAGUGAGACCCCCAUCUCUACCAAAAAAAAAAAAAAGCUGGGCAUGGUGGCACAUGUCUAUAGUCCUAGCUACUUGGGAGGCUGAGGUGGGAGGAUCACUUAAGCCUUGAAGUAAAGGCUGCAGUGAGCUCUGAUUGUACCACUGUGCUCCAGCCCGUGCUGGACAGAGUGAGACCCUAUCUCUAAAGUAAAAGAUAAUAAUAAUUAGAGUCUCAGUAAAAGAAAGGAAAAAGAAAAUGGGGUAGAGUGAAAUUUUUAAAAAAAUUCUCUAAUUUGGUGAAAAACAUCAGCCUACAGAUUGAAGAAUCAACAAACUCCAAGCAGAAUAAAUACAAAAAAUAAAAUAAAGAAAGAAAACACACCAGCUACACUGUAGUCAAAAGGUUAAAAACCAAAAAUAUAGAAUAAAUGUUGAAACAGAAAAAAAAGUCAAUGACAUAAGGGGAACAAUGCUAUGAAUCACAGUUGACUUCUUACUAGAAACAGUGGAGGCCAAAAGAAAUGGAAUGAUGCCAUUAAAGUACUGAAAGAAUAGAGCAACCCAGCUUUUUUUUUUUUUUAAGACCUUGUUUGGCUCAGUCGCCUAGACUGGAGUGAAGUGAUGCAGUCACAGCUCACUGCAGCCUCAACCUCCUAAGCUCAAGUGAUCCUCUCACCUCAGCCUCCCAAUUAGCUAGGACUACGAGUGUAUGCCACUAUGUCCAACUAAUUUUUUUUUUUUUUAGAGAUGGGGUCUCAGCUACGUUGCCCAAACUGUUCUUGAACUCCUGGGUUCAAGCAAUCCUCCUGCCUUAGCCUUCCAAAGUGCUGGGAUUACAAGUGUGAGCCACCACACCUGGCCAGAAUUCUAACAUUUUCUCAAAAAUGAAAACAAAAAAGACAUUUUCUGAUAAACAAAUGCUGGGAGGAUUCAUUGUAAACUAUAUUAAAUACUAAUAGAAGAAUUGGGGGCGGUGGUGAUGGAAAAUGAUAGCACAGGGAAAUCUAAACUACAGAAAGUAAUAAAUAGCACCAGAAAUGGUAAGUAGACGUGUAAAUAUAAAGAACUUUUUUCUUCUCAUUUUUUUAAAACAGACUAUUUAAAGACAAAUAUAUUGUAGGACUCUCAAUUCAUGUAGAAGUAAAAUACAUGACAGCAAUAACAAAAAAGGACAGAGGGUUUUGUUUGUGUGUGUGUGUGUGUGUUUAUUUUAAGCAAUGCUUUUGGAGAAAGAAAAAAAGGACAGAGUUAACAAAAUUGUACUAUUGUAAGAUUCUUACAUUUCACAUGAAGUAGUAUAAUAUUAACUCUAAACAGACUGUUAAGGUUGUGCUGACUACUAUGGUAGUCAGUAGCCACAAGUGACUAAAUUUAAACUUAAAUUAAUUAAAAAUAAAUAAAAUUUAAAUUUCAGUCUUCAGUUGUACUAGCCAUAUUUCAAGGUAUCAACAGUCACAGGUAGCCAGUGUCUACCAUAUUGGAAAGACAUAGAACAUUUUCACUACUAAAGAACAUUUAGUUGGAGAAUGCUGCCCUAUAGCAACCAUAAAAAAAAAAAAAUACAGACAUAUAACUUUAAAAUCAAUAAAUGAAUUAGAAUACUAAGAAUAUUGUAUAAACCAAAAUAAAGCCAUGAAGGAGGAAAUGAGAAACAAACAAAAAAUGAGACAAGCAGAAAACAAAUAGCAAGGUGAUAGACUUAAAUCCUACCAAAUCAAUAAUUAUAUUAAAUAUAAAUGAACUAAACAGUCCAAAGAAAAGAAAAAGAUUGCAAGGAUGAAUAAAAAGCAAGAUUCAAGUAAGAGCUUUGGCAUGAGAUGCAAUGCAUUUUAAAGAUCCAGAUAGGUUGAAAGUAAAAGGAAGGGAAAACAUAGACCAAGCAAAUCUAAGAAACCUGGUAUUGAUAUACUAUUAUUAUACAAAACAAACUUCAAGUCAAAAAGAAUUAUCAAAGUUGAAGAGUGACAUUCCUUAAUGAAAAAUGGUCAUUUCAUCAUGAAGACAUAAAAAAUAUAAAUGUUUAUGUGACUAAAAAGCUUCAAGUAUAAGAAGCAAGAUAUGAAAAUUAAAGGAACAGGCCCAGCACAGUGGCUCAUGCCUAUAAUCCCAGAACUUUGGGAGGCCAAGGUGGGAGGAAUGCUCAAGCCCAGGAGUUCGAGACUAGCCUGGGCAACAUAGUGAGAUCCUGUCUCUACAAAAAAAUUUUAAAAUUAGGUGGGCAUGGUGAUAGACAUCUGUAGCUGUAGCAUCUGUAGCUACUCGAGAGGCUGGGGCAGGAGGAUUGUUUGAACUCAGGAGGUCAAGGCUGCAAUGAGCUGUGAUCAGAUCAUGCCACUGCACUCCAGCCUGGAUGACAGAGUGAGACCCUGUCUCAAAAAAAAAAAAAAAAAAUUGAAGGAACAAAUAUACAAAUCUGUAAUCACAGUUGAACAUUUUUAAUUCACCUACAUGUACUUUGUAGAACUAGACAUAGAUAUGUGAAUAUAAAUGAUUUGAACACUAUCAACCAACUUAACCUAAUUGAUAAAUAGAGAAUACUUCACCUAGUAUCUGCAGAAUAAACAACGAUUUUCAAGUGCACAUGGACUAGUUACCAAGAUAGAUCUCGUGCUGAAAUAUAAAAUGUGGCUUAAUAAAUUUCAAAGGAUUGAAAAAUACAGAAUAUGCUCUCUAAACAUAACAGAAUGAAAUUAGAAAUCAAUAACAAUAAGAUAUCUUAAAACUCCCAAAUAUUUGGAAGUCCCACAACAUAGUUCUAAAUAACUGAGUUAAAGAAGAAAUCACAGUAAAUUUAAAAGAUAUUUUAGCCUGAAUAAUAAUUUUAAAAAUCAAAAUUUGUGGAUGUUCCAUAGACAGCAGGUCUAUGCAAACCUACCCCCCAAAAUUAAGGUAGCUGAGAUGUUGAAGAAAGAGGCUGACAAAUCCGUUUUCUCAGAAAGAAACCUUUAAUAGGAACUUAGGAACAGAAGCCAUGUCUAGGGCAGCCAUGAGAUGAGAUGGUGGAUCCCCACACUUUCCCCCAACCCGGACCCAGGGCUUAUAUGCCAUAAAGAAAGGCAUGUAAGUCCUGCUUCAGAAGGACUGUGUAAAACAACUGAAGUGGACCCCUCUGGGAAAGGCAAGAAUGCUAUAUGCUUCACAGCCUAUAAUUUGCUUAAGGCAGGAUUUAUGGUAAGUAUUUGCUUACAUUUUAUGCCACAGAUCACAUAGUUAUUAAUAGAAUAAUAAGGAAAUAUUGUGCAUAACAUUAUGCCAAUAAAUUCAACAACUUAGAUAAAUUGGACACAUUUCUUGAAAAAUACAACAUGUAAAAAUCUGACACAAGAAGAAACAGAAAAUCUGAAUAGCCCUGUCUCUGUUAAAGAAAUAGAACAGGGAAAACUCUGUAGUGAUAGAAACUAGGUCAGUGGUUGCCUAUGUAGAAUGUCAACUGAAAGAGAACAUGAGAGAACUCUUGGGAAUGAUGAAAAAAAUUCUAUAUCAUAAACUUUUUGUGGUAGUUACAAGGGUGUAUCAUUUGGUAAAUCCAUAAAAUUUUGCCUUUAAGAUAUGUACUUCUUUUUCAGACAGGAUCUCAUUCUGUCACCAAGGCUGGAAUGCAAUGGUGCAAUCACAGCUCACUGCAGCCUUGAACUCCCAGACUCCAGUGAUCCUCCCACCUCAGCCUCCUGAGUAGCUGGGACUACAGGCACACACUACCACACCCAGCUAAUUUUGUAUUUUUUGUAGAGAGAAGGUCUCACCAUGUUGACCAGGCUGGUCUCCAAUUCCUGAGCUCAAGCAAUCCUCCUGCCUUAGCCUCCCAAAGUUUUGGGAUUAUAGGCAUGAGCCUCAGUGCCUGAACAGAUGUGUACAUUUCACUGUAUGCACACGUUACCUUGAGCAUAUAAGUUGCAUGCCAAAAACUAUGACAUAAACACAAAAUGUGAAACAUUCUGACAUUUUAAAUCUUAAAUAUAAUUGAAGUAAAAAAGUCCCCUGAGAUAUCUUAGGUACGAUAUAUGCUAAAAUGCAAAACAUAUCCUACAACUUUAUUUGAAAAAUGUUUAUUUUCCUUCUGAAUAAAAGUUCCAAAGUUCAAACCCAAUCAUAUUUAUUUCAGUGAUGAUAAUAAUGACUGUACUGAUUCAUCCUUCCAGAUUUAGCUUGUGAACCUUCUUCAGUGUAAUUUUUCUGGAACCACCAUGAUGAAGUAGAGUCAUUGUCUGGGGUAAAUACCUGAGGUUCCUUCUCUCAGCCAGGAAAUCGAGGACAUGGACACACGAGAAGUGGAUUUAAGAGCAGAAGUUUAAUAGGCGAAAGAAAGAGAAAAGAGAAUCUCUCUCCUGCAGAGAGAGCGGGGCGCCUGAGUGGGUCUUCCGGUCCCAUGGUGAAGUACACAGGUUUUAUAGACUGGCUUGAGGAGGUGGUGUCUGAUUUACAUAGGGCCCAAAGAUCGGUUGGACCAGGUGUGAUGUUUACAUAACAGGAGAAGAAGCUGACCACCCCACCCUAAUCUUUUAUUCUGCAAAUGGAUUUUCUACCUUGCCAGUGCCACGUUUUCUGUUCUUUACCAUUCACAAGGUUGACAAAAGGGAAGAUGGAACUGCCAUGCUGAACAUGCCUAGCCCCCAGGUAGCCUUUUCCUAUUGUCACAGCUGCCAGCCAUUCACCCGUGCAAGCUUGCAGCUUGCUUAUCAGUCUGCAGCUCGAUUUUUCAGCCUGCUUUUGUUAGAAAAGGAAGGAUUUGGGGGCUACUUUUCAUUAAAAGGAAAACCUUACCAAGGACUUCCUUACCCUCACUAUCUGCCUAAAUAUUUCUCUUUAACUCCUAUAUCAAUGACGAUUUAAAUUCUCCCUCUGUUCCCUUGUCUCCCAGUAUACAUCUCCCUUACAGCACCUGUAUACUGUGUUCUGAUGGUCUAAAUAUAGUUAUUCUCCUCUACCCCACAUUGUGAUCUUUGAACAUAAGACUGUGCUUUUAUCUCAUUUUCCCAGUGCCUGUCAUAUUGCCAGGCUUAGCAGGUGCUCAAUAAAUUCUGUUUCAUCAAGUGCUUGAAUGAUAGUCAUAUGGAGAUUCUUUCAGUCAGAAUAUACUAUUGGUCUUGAGAAGAUGAUUUAAACAUUUUUUCCUUUGAAUUUGAUUCCCUUCCUGUUACAUGUUAUCUAAGAAAACAUAUCCUACAGAAGUAUUCCAAAACCCGAGAAAGAAAACACACAACAAAACAAAAAGAUUAGAUAGCAGAUACUGAAUGAAAUGCUCAAAAAUGCUCCAGUUCAAUAUUAAAUGAAAAAUAGAAAAGAGAAAGGAAAACUAUAUUAUGAGAUAAAGUGAAGUAGAGAAAUGAGACUUUGGACAUACACUCACAGGCUUUGGAUUAUAAGAGAAAGAAAAACUUACAUAUGGGGAAAGGAUCUUUGCAAUGGAAUUACUUCCCAAAAGGUGAGACAGUAUUCAAACUGAUGAAAAAUGUUAUUUGUCCUUUGAAAUGUUUAUUUUAAAAUAGGUUUUAUAAUAAUGCAUAGGUUUAUGAUCACAUUUUCUUAUAUCAAAUAACAAUACAGUUUGUUAACUUCUGUAGCUAUGUUCUAAUUGCAGAGCUCUAGUUUGAUUUUAGGUUGGGAGGGUGUAUUCAAAAAUAUAUAAGCUGAACUGAGAGGCUUUGCUUGUCUCAAAAAAAGGUCUCAUGGGAGAUGAAAGUAGAGUUGAAAACCUGAAAGGCAAAAGGUUGCAAGUUUACUGCAAGGUUUUGAGACAAGGAUGCUGUGGUACUAUUACAGUAGAUAGCUAAUCAGGUAUGAGCAGGGCAGAAGAGGGCUCCUCCUGCCCCACCAGGAAUGUCAGGCCAACAUCAAGUGAUGGUCAGGUGGUUGUUACACUGUUUCUCUAAAAUAAUAAUUGGUCACAGGUGGCCCCAGGGGAAGGCAGUCUCCCAGUAGAAAAAACCUGAAAGUUGUGAUCCGCAGCUUCCCGAUAAGAUCUCAGGAGUUGGGCGAGUGGGCUCAAGCAUGUGCAUUAGGAGGCAACAUGGCAGACUUUAACUGGUAUAUAUGACCUUCUAGGAACUUUUGACUGGUAAGGUAAGAACGCCUCAGGUGAGCAUGCAUACAACUCCAAUAAACACACUGAGCAUGCAGCCCCUCCCAGGCACUGGCUGGCCAUUGCACAUGCAGACCCUUCUUCAGUGUAAUCUUUCUGGAACCACCAUGAGGAUUUAAAUUCUCCCUCCCUGUACCCAUGUCCACCAGUACACAUGUCCCUUACGGCACCUAUACACUGUGUUCUCAUGGUGUAAAUGAAGUUAUUCUCCUUUACCCUACAUUAUGUGAUCUUUGAACAUAAGAUAGUGCUUUUAUCUCAGCCCAACCCAAGGGAAGAAUCAAGGGAGAAGUGACACCAGACCCCAGAAGCAUGCCAACAUAUAAAACCCCAAGUCAAAAGGUAAAACCAUGCACGUGAUCUCUCAGGUCGCCCACUUGGCCUUCUUCCAAGUGUACUUCCUUUCAUUCUUGCUAUAAAGCUUUUUAAUAAACUUUCACUCCUCCUCUAAAACUUGCCUUGCACUAUCUUUCUGCUUUAUGCCCCUUGGUCAAAUUCUUUCUUCUGAGGAGGCAAGAAUUGAGGUUGCUGCAGACCCAGAGGGAUUCACCGCUGGUAACAGUAAAAAGCAGGAAAAAAAGAGUUUUGGUAAAAACAAAAACAAAAACAAAAAAACUACCCUCUUACUCUCAGAUAUCUACGUACUGAAACAGGGCCACAUGACAAAGUUUUAUUAAAUAGAUACUAGUAUCCUCAAUUAAAAUAAUGAAAAUCUGUUUCACAUUUCUAGAGUUAAGGCUAGCACCUCAGAUAAUUUGUAAUUUGUAAAUGAAUAUGUAUCUUAUUUGUUUUCUCUAUCAUGUUGUAGAUUAGGGAUCGUGAUGUGGAGCUGCACUUCCUGGUUCCAAAUCCUGGCUCUUCCCCUCAUCCCUGGGUAAGUUGAGGGAUGAGAGCAAGAGAAGGUUGAUCCUGACUCAGAUCUCUGCAUGGGGCAUGUCACUGAUGACGGCGGCAUUCCCUGAGAGAGGGAACACUAAGUUUGAAGUUGGGCAUAGUGAGCACUAUUUUGGAUGAGUUAAGUUUAGAAGUGCCUGAAGACAUCCAAGUGGAAGAAGUGGCUGCAUGGACUGAAGAUACAGACUGGGAAACGUUAACACCAUCAAGGAACUGGAGUCCUGGGCACAGCCCUUCAAGACAGAGGAGAUUAUGGGGCUACUGAACGUAUCUUGGACUUUAGAGAAAGAAAGUGAAGCUGAGCUGAGAUCCAUUGGUUCUAUUUUGGAAAGAUGCACCCCGUGGCAUGACCUUCACAGCUCAGUUCUGGGGUCAAAGGAAUUUUCCAUUGCUCACACUGCCACCCAACUCUGGGGGCAUAAGUGUGGAAGUGGUACAGCACACAUGGAGAAGGGAUGGGAGGAGCAGGGGUGUGUAUCAGCUUAGCCGAUCCCCCGAGGAGCUGCCAAGCUUGCUACCCCAAGAACAAUGCCUCAUAGCUCUGUGACCUCUUCAAGAUUAAGGCUCUUUGAUCUCAGCCCUUCUGAAGUGGUUUGAACCAUAUUCUAUACAAAAUUGGUAACUCCCCCAUAAGAAUUGCUUUUUAAAUAUCCUGCUCUAUUUGAAAAAGGAAUUUUAAAAAUAAAGUUUACCCUUUUACUCUCUCCCAGCAAGUGAGAUAUUCAAAACAACAAAAAUUCCUCUAACAUGUUAUGAUGUGGAAACUGGUAUUUUACUGAUUUGUCUUUUCCACUUGGCUUCAAGUUCUUUGGGGAAUGAAGAUCAUAUCAAUCCCUAGCCGACCGCUUCAGGCACAACUGCAAAUGUUUCUUGAAUGAACUUCCAGGCUUACCUGAAUUCUAAGGGGGAUUUCCACCAUAAUGGGAAAGCCACAAGAAAACCAGCAAAGGGUUUAAAAAAAAAAGGGUGAAAAUAUAAGUUAUUUAUCGGGGGUUAUCACUUUAUGCAGAGAGCAUUCGAAACAAUGAUUUCCACAAAUGGGCAGCAACAGUAACAGCCAUACUAAGCCAUUGCUUUCUUUACUUCCUCUUGGUCUAGAAUAUGCUGCAAAGGGAGAAGAAGGAAGACGUGUGGUAUGGAAUCACCUAUGGAUAAGGUUGAGAACCAUGGGCUAGAUGCUAUGGAGACCAACGUAUCACUUACUAGGCUUUACUUUGUGCCAGGCACUGGAUUCGGCAUUACCCCAUUUAAGCCUCACUACCAUCCUUCAUGUUACUAUUCCACGUUGCCGCUCAGGAGAAACAAAAUUUUUUUAUUAAAUUCAAGUAACCUGAGGUCCCAUAUUUAGUAAGAGGCAGAGGAGUUAGAUGUGUCAAUAGCUAAAUUACAUGGCUGUGUCCUCUAGCUGGCCAGGGACUGACAACAUCAGUAUCACCUGGUGACUCUCCCAGGGGAGAUGUUUUUAAAAAUCUUUUCCAGUAAUUCUGUGCAACAUGGCAAUCUGAAACCAGUCUUUCAGACCUGGAAGUUCUUUAGAGACCACAGGACUCUCUUUGAUAUUUUUUCUUUUGAAUUUUUUUAAAAUACAGAAUCCUUUUUCAUGUUCUCUGUUUAUAAAACAACUGCAUGUCAAUUACAUUAUUUUUUAGAAGAUAGGUACAAGAGCCAGGCGUGGUGGCUCAUGGCUGUAAUCACAACACUUUGGGAGGUCGAGGCAGGUGGAUCAUUUGAGGCUGGAAGUUCGAGACCAGCCUGGCCAACAUGGCAAAACCUGUCUCUACUAAAAAUAUAAAAAAUUAGCCUGGAGUAGUGGUGCAUGUCCCAGCUACUCGGGAGGCUGAGGCAUGAAAAUCGCUUGAACCCGGGAGGUGCAGGUUGCAGUGAGCCAAGAUCGCACCACUGCACUCCAGCCUGGGCAACAGAGCAAGACUGUGUCUUGACAGCAACAAAAAAAGAAGAUAGGUAUAGGAAUUAAAAAGAAAGCAAAUAAUUACUGGUAGCCUGACCACUAAGAGAUAUAUACUGAUAUUUUUUUUGCGGGGGGUGCAUCUCCUUGCAGGCCUUUUUGUAUGUUUAUGUUCAAACACAUUUGUAACAACAAUGAAUAAAAAACGCAUAAUAUUCAAUGACUUUU